GAUCUACAAAGAAAUAUGCUCUCCAUGGCAUUUAUCCCUGUCAAGCCUGUCAGGUCUUGAACUGUCCUCCAAAAGAGUGUUGUUGUCAUGCCAGAUAAAUGAAGAGUUUGUCUACGGUGUACGGACAUACACAAAACAUAGAGAAGAAAACCCGUGAGCAAGAGGUGGUGGCAGAUGAGACGCUCUCCAGCUCUCGGAGGAAAUAUAUAUGGACGUGUCUACAGAGUUGAUUUACAUUAUCAAAAAAAUAAUAUCUGUAUUAACAAUGAUUAAGUGUCAGAAAAUGGUAAUAUUUUCUGUUCUUUUUACAUCUCCAGUGUCCCACCAACCCUCGCUCCAGCCCCAGCACAGCCAGCUGAGACCAGAAAAGGUCAAAAACCAGAGAGGAAACAGAGGAAGGGUCUCUUCAGCAUUUUUGAGAUAUGAAAAAGAGGAAAUAUGAGGAGAAACCACCGACCCCAUCUGAAAGUAGCAGCACCGUCAAAGAAGAAAUAAAAGAAGAAGACCACAAGCAGGGAUCCAGCUCCUCAUCCCAUCAGAAAGAGGUCUAGAGUUGGUUGAAUAGUGGAGACUGGAAGAGCAUCAGGAUCCCUCUGAUCAAGUAGGAACAACCACAGGGACAAGGUUAAGUAUGUACUAACCCUCUCUUGUCAUCAGUACAGAUUUUAGGGGCAUGGACGUAUAGUUUUUGACCUUCUCGCCUCGUCUCGUCU
Long non-coding RNA from Mugil cephalus (flathead mullet), 713 nucleotides. RefSeq lists it as uncharacterized. Lineage: Eukaryota; Metazoa; Chordata; Actinopteri; Mugiliformes; Mugilidae. The transcript has 5 exons. The record is from RefSeq and is a predicted model, not a curated record.